RNAcentral lists this ribosomal RNA (521 nucleotides) under Vibrio vulnificus. RNAcentral describes it as "bacterial SSU rRNA". It matches the Rfam family "Bacterial small subunit ribosomal RNA", at positions 1013 to 1533 of the family's 1533-position model. Lineage: Bacteria; Pseudomonadati; Pseudomonadota; Gammaproteobacteria; Vibrionales; Vibrionaceae. The record is from RNAcentral.
UGUGCCUUCGGGAACUCUGAGACAGGUGCUGCAUGGCUGUCGUCAGCUCGUGUUGUGAAAUGUUGGGUUAAGUCCCGCAACGAGCGCAACCCUUAUCCUUGUUUGCCAGCGAGUAAUGUCGGGAACUCCAGGGAGACUGCCGGUGAUAAACCGGAGGAAGGUGGGGACGACGUCAAGUCAUCAUGGCCCUUACGAGUAGGGCUACACACGUGCUACAAUGGCGCAUACAGAGGGCGGCCAACUUGCGAAAGUGAGCGAAUCCCAAAAAGUGCGUCGUAGUCCGGAUUGGAGUCUGCAACUCGACUCCAUGAAGUCGGAAUCGCUAGUAAUCGUGGAUCAGAAUGCCACGGUGAAUACGUUCCCGGGCCUUGUACACACCGCCCGUCACACCAUGGGAGUGGGCUGCAAAAGAAGUGGGUAGUUUAACCUUCGGGAGGACGCUCACCACUUUGUGGUUCAUGACUGGGGUGAAGUCGUAACAAGGUAGCGCUAGGGGAACCUGGCGCUGGAUCACCUCCUUA